This is a long non-coding RNA of Zingiber officinale, 153 nucleotides long. RefSeq lists it as uncharacterized. Lineage: Eukaryota; Viridiplantae; Streptophyta; Magnoliopsida; Zingiberales; Zingiberaceae. The transcript is spliced from 2 exons. The record is from RefSeq and is a predicted model, not a curated record.
AAGAGCGAUACAGCGAUGUAGCUUUCAUUCGUGAUCAUGUUGGGGCAGGACUGCUACAUGAAGCUAUUCACUCCAUCGAGCUUUAUUCAUUUUGCUAUAUGCAAGGCUAUAACAGUGGCUGCCAAUUCUUAUAUACUGAUUGAAAAAGAAUUA